RNAcentral lists this ribosomal RNA (492 nucleotides) under uncultured bacterium. Its description in RNAcentral is "partial 16S ribosomal RNA". It matches the Rfam family "Bacterial small subunit ribosomal RNA", at positions 29 to 507 of the family's 1533-position model. The record is from RNAcentral.
AGUGAACGCUGGCGGUAGGCCUAACACAUGCAAGUCGAACGGCAGCACAGUAAGAGCUUGCUCUUACGGGUGGCGAGUGGCGGACGGGUGAGGAAUACAUCGGAAUCUACUUUUUCGUGGGGGAUAACGUAGGGAAACUUACGCUAAUACCGCAUACGACCUACGGGUGAAAGCAGGGGAUCUUCGGACCUUGCGCGAUUGAAUGAGCCGAUGUCGGAUUAGCUAGUUGGCGGGGUAAAGGCCCACCAAGGCGACGAUCCGUAGCUGGUCUGAGAGGAUGAUCAGCCACACUGGAACUGAGACACGGUCCAGACUCCUACGGGAGGCAGCAGUGGGGAAUAUUGGACAAUGGGCGCAAGCCUGAUCCAGCCAUACCGCGAGGGUGAAGAAGGCCUUCGGGUUGUAAAGCCCUUUUGUUGGGAAAGAAAAGCAGCAGGUUAAUACCCCGCUGCUCUGACGGUACCCAAAGAAUAAGCACCGGCUAACUUCGUG